GGGGGCGUAAAGGUUUCGACGGGGACCGUGCAGCUCUGUAAGCGGGCCGUGUGGGUGAAAACACGUUAAUCGUCACACCUAAAUAUAAACGCUAACAAGAAUACUAGUCGUUUUGAACUCUGCGCAGCGUAAUUAAAUUACGCUGUCCGCUGCGGCAGAUCGCCGCGCUCUGACGCAGUGCUAACUUAAGCGGUGGACUUGUUCGGCGUUUGCCUCGGCGCCGAAGAGGUUUUAUGAGGCUGGCUUCCGGUAAAGGCUGACUGUUGCCGCUGCCGGAAGGAGAGAAAGAACAGUCUACGCUCGUAGAAAGCAGAGGGAAUCGAUUUUCGGACAGGGGUUCGAUUCCCCUCGCCUCCACCA
This 360-nucleotide transfer-messenger RNA is filed under the name Oscillospiraceae. Its description in RNAcentral is "Egerieicola faecale Standard tmRNA". It matches the Rfam family "transfer-messenger RNA". Rfam says of the family: Bacterial tmRNA, also known as 10Sa RNA or SsrA, is named for its dual tRNA and mRNA-like properties. Its role is to liberate the mRNA from a stalled ribosome. The record is from RNAcentral. RNAcentral also lists the same sequence under 2 other names. Lineage: Bacteria; Bacillati; Bacillota; Clostridia; Eubacteriales.